AACCAUUUAGCUCAAUUGGUAGAGCUCUGGCUGGAAUGCCGGGGUUGCGGAGUUCGAGUCCCGCAAUGGUUC
This 72-nucleotide transfer RNA is filed under the name Pseudobutyrivibrio sp. RNAcentral's name for it is "tRNA-OTHER". It matches the Rfam family "tRNA". From Rfam's summary of the family: Transfer RNA (tRNA) molecules are approximately 80 nucleotides in length. Lineage: Bacteria; Bacillati; Bacillota; Clostridia; Lachnospirales; Lachnospiraceae. The record is from RNAcentral.